GUUAUAUUUUCGUCUGGGAAACAGACAAAAACUUCUAGAUAUUCCAGCACCCACAAAAAGACUGAAUCCGGUUGGCCAAUGGAGAUUAAAAAAAGAAAGAAAGUAAAACAAAAACCUCCAGGUUUUACUUGAAGAUGCUAGAAACUGUUAAGUAAGCCCUAAGUGCGGCGUGCUCCUCCUCUGUCCCCUCCCCCAAAUCCAAGAAUACUAGUUUGACUUCAGCAGUUCUGAUGUCAGCGAUUUGCUACAGCGAGGGCAUGGCUUGGGUGAGCACAGGACCAACCGAGCGCCAAGUCAGGACUCCUGGAGUCUGACUCACUGCAGAGGCUGGAGGAAGUCGUUCCUACCGCCCCUGUGUCGCCCCUCAAUUUUGCGAAGAGAAGAGUAGGGUGGCGCUAAAGAAAGUCAGUUUGCAUCCAUUCAUUUCAGUUGCCUCUCUGCAUUUGGACAGAUUCUUCGAACGCCAGCUCAGAAGCCGGGCCGGAGGACAACGCGGCUUCAAGGAGCAGGGGUCUGCGAGUAAGUCCAGGUGAGUAGGAACCGCGGCCAGGAGGACCGGCCCGCGCCGCAGCGCGCACGCGCGGCGCCCGGAACCCACGCUCGUCCCCGCUGCGGGCCCGCGCUCGGAAGAGGGCGGCAGCGCGCAGGGAGCGGGAGGCGCGCGAGGCCGGCAGGCAGAAGCCGUGAGCCUCGCAGCAGCACGGACCCGAGAGUCGCCGCUGCCGCCACCGGCACACUCGAUCUGAUUUGUACUCACUGUAACAAGCACCGCUCCCAAGACCUUCUGGAUCCAGACUCAGGGCUCCAGCUCCCUGGAAAUCCUUAGCACGAAGGAGGCUGCAGUCUUGGAUUCCCUGGUGGAGGACGGACUCCACUGCUCUCUGGUCUUGCCCCCUGAUGAUGAUA
Molecule: long non-coding RNA, 906 nt
Filed under: Mus spicilegus (steppe mouse)
Lineage: Eukaryota; Metazoa; Chordata; Mammalia; Rodentia; Muridae
Description: lncRNA (ENSMSIG00000011862.1)
Source: RNAcentral